This 76-nucleotide transfer RNA is filed under the name bacterium ADurb.BinA186. RNAcentral's name for it is "tRNA-Asn". It matches the Rfam family "tRNA". From Rfam's summary of the family: Transfer RNA (tRNA) molecules are approximately 80 nucleotides in length. Their secondary structure includes four short double-helical elements and three loops (D, anti-codon, and T loops). The record is from RNAcentral.
UCCCCUGUAGCUCAGUUGGUAGAGCAUCCGCCUGUUAAGCGGCAGGUCCGUGGUUCGAGUCCACGCGGGGGAGCCA